GACGAACGCUGGCGGCGUGCUUAACACAUGCAAGUCGAGCGGUAAGGCCCUUUCGGGGGUACGACGAGCGGCGAACGGGUGAGUAACACGUGGGUGACCUGCCCUCAGCUCUGGGAUAAGCCUGGGAAACCGGGUCUAAUACUGGAUAUGACUCCAUGACGCAUGUUGUGGGGUGGAAAGCCUUGUGCGGCUGAGGAUGGGGCCCGCGGCCUAUCAGCUUGUUGGUGGGGUGANGGCCUACCAAGGCGACGACGGGUAGCCGGCCUGAGAGGGCGACCGGCCACACUGGGACUGAGACACGGCCCAGACUCCUACGGGAGGCAGCAGUGGGGAAUCUUGCGCAAUGGGCGAAAGCCUGACGCAGCGACGCCGCGUGAGGGAUGACGGCCU
Molecule: ribosomal RNA, 390 nt
Filed under: uncultured bacterium
Lineage: Bacteria
Description: bacterial SSU rRNA
Rfam family: Bacterial small subunit ribosomal RNA
Source: RNAcentral